GUGUCGGUAGCUUUAUUUUUUUGGGUAAACCGUUUGGUUUUCGACCACUAGGACCCGGGUUCGAUUCCCGCAUUGGGCACU
This is a non-coding RNA of Cordylochernes scorpioides, 81 nucleotides long. The record is from the annotation of a GenBank genome assembly. NCBI's taxonomy places the organism in Eukaryota, Metazoa, Arthropoda, Arachnida, Pseudoscorpiones, Chernetidae.